Chrysoperla carnea is the source of this 320-nucleotide long non-coding RNA. RefSeq lists it as uncharacterized. The transcript has 3 exons. The record is from RefSeq and is a predicted model, not a curated record. Lineage: Eukaryota; Metazoa; Arthropoda; Insecta; Neuroptera; Chrysopidae.
CAAAAUUUUUGUAAAAUUCAUUGUGAAGUGAAUUCCGAUUAUUACAGAAAAAAUGGUGCUAAAUGCAAAGCAAUUGUCAUCCAUUCCAAAAAAUAUGGAAGAAAUAAAAAAAGAAUAUGAAGCUAUCGAAUCGAAGCUAACAUUAUUCGAAGAGACCUACUCGAAAAUGUUACAAGAGUGCAAUACAUGGUGGAUUGAGCUAGCAUUUACAAAUGCAAAUAUUCAACAAUUAUUAUCAAAUUUUGAAAAAGAAGAUUCUACUAAAAUUGGUCCAAGCACAACAUAAUUCUUUAAAAAGAAAACCCCUGGAUGAAUCGACA